AACGAACGCUGGCGGCAUGCCUAACACAUGCAAGUCGAACGAGACCAUCGGGUCUAGUGGCGCACGGGUGCGUAACGCGUGGGAACCUGCCCUUAGGUUCGGAAUAACUCCCCGAAAGGGGUGCUAAUACCGGAUAAUGUCUUCGGACCAAAGAUUUAUCGCCUUUGGAUGGGCCCGCGUUGGAUUAGCUAGUUGGUAGGGUAAAAGCCUACCAAGGCGACAAUCCAUAGCUGGUCUGAGAGAAUGAUCAGCCACACUGGGACUGAGACACGGCCCAGACUCCUACGGGAGGCAGCAGUGGGGAAUAUUGGACAAUGGGCGAAAGCCUGAUCCAGCAAUGCCGCGUGAGUGAUGAAGGCCUUAGGGUUGUAAAGCUCUUUUACCCGGGAUGAUAAUGACAGUACCGGGAGAGUAAGCCCCGGCUAACUCCGUG
This 433-nucleotide ribosomal RNA is filed under the name uncultured bacterium. Its description in RNAcentral is "partial 16S ribosomal RNA". It matches the Rfam family "Bacterial small subunit ribosomal RNA", at positions 29 to 507 of the family's 1533-position model. The record is from RNAcentral.